UGGGACGAUGGGACGAAGGAGUCCAGAAGGGGGAGGUUGAGGAUCGCUGGGAAAACCCCGCGAUUGCAACGGUCACUUUGCCUGGUAUCUUGAAGAGAACGGUCGAUAUCCGUGAAAAUCACCGUCACGAAAGAGUGAAGUUUAGAAGUGAAGUGGAAGAUCCGGUAGACGCCAUCCCGGAGAAAAGCCGUCCGACGAUCUAGAGAUCCGGACGCAAGCAGGAGGAGCCUGCGUUGAUUUGUGGACAUCCAGAACCCCUCGGUGUUCGUACGCUUCGCGUACAGGCCGGCGCAGACGCAUCCGUCCGCCGUAAGCCACCCGACACCCGCGGUAUUCCCCGCGCGGUACCUAGUACCGCCGAGCACGAUCGCUCACGCACGAGGAUCGCCCGCGACACCGUUCCGGUGUGGGAACCGCCCUCGCGACGCCGCCAUUUUGGUCUUCUGACCUACCGUCGCGAGAUAAGACGCCAGCCUCGCCAGCCGUUAUACCAACCGACGCCGGAAACCAGGCAGACCGGUAGAUUCAUCUACCGAGGUCCCAGAGUCCGUCACCAUACUCGGGAGCGUCGAGGCAGGUGGCGCAGAAGAGGGUCGAGUACGAGAGCAGCAGCUGACCGCCCAUAGUGGUCGCUGAACGUGAGAGGAAGACGUGUCCCGCCCCGGUUGACCGAGUCCCGGAGGUCGGUGGAGGCGUGUAGCCGUUGUUCCAGGAACGCGAGCUGAGAGUGGAGAGAGAGCGGAAGCAGCAGUUCCGUAAAGGGCCCGAAGAAGAAGGAAGAAGGACGUGUGAGGUAGGAUUAGAUAGUAAGGAAGUGGGGGAUCGAGGAACGAAGAACGCGCAGCUUGAGUCUGCUGAAUAAAACACGAGUUUCCGGAAUAAAGUGGGUUUGUUUUGUCCGUUGGUCCAA
Long non-coding RNA from Culex quinquefasciatus (southern house mosquito), 910 nucleotides. RefSeq lists it as uncharacterized. The transcript is spliced from 2 exons. NCBI's taxonomy places the organism in Eukaryota, Metazoa, Arthropoda, Insecta, Diptera, Culicidae. The record is from RefSeq and is a predicted model, not a curated record.